RNAcentral lists this ribosomal RNA (19 nucleotides) under Purpureocillium lilacinum. Its description in RNAcentral is "partial 28S ribosomal RNA". RNAcentral also lists the same sequence under 2 other names. The record is from RNAcentral. Lineage: Eukaryota; Fungi; Ascomycota; Sordariomycetes; Hypocreales; Ophiocordycipitaceae.
GACCUCGGAUCAGGUAGGA